This is a long non-coding RNA of Salvia splendens (bonfire salvia), 515 nucleotides long. RefSeq lists it as uncharacterized. The transcript has 2 exons. The record is from RefSeq and is a predicted model, not a curated record. Lineage: Eukaryota; Viridiplantae; Streptophyta; Magnoliopsida; Lamiales; Lamiaceae.
AGAACUCUGUUCUGUGAGUUGCCAUGGAAGCCUUUCUCUCGGAGAGGAUGGCCCUAGUUCUUUCAUCUUAAGCAAUCUGCAGGCCCAUCUCCUUCGCUUAUCCUUGUUGCAGCGAACAAGAGAUCGAAGCAGUUCAGGUUAGAAUUUGUUUGGGCAUGUGAAGAAUUGCAUGGGGUUAGUUGUAUCAGUUGGUCGGUUUGAUGUUCGUGCAAGAUAAAACGAGGUUCUUGAGAUUCGAGUCUUCACCUGGAAUAGAAGAUGUAACACGAUUUUGAAGGGGAAGCCAUAUCAAGUGGCCUUUUUUCCCCAAUAGUGGAGAGGCCAUCAAAUGAAGGGCAAAUCCAAGUGCAAAAAUACAUUAUUGGUGGAGGUGGGGAAAUCCCUAAUGUGCAAAAGAAAGCAUGUCUUUGAAGGAGAUAGACAGCUGUUGGCCCCCCUAUUUCUGCUCUAUAAUAUUCAUAUAAUAUAAUUUAUUCUACUACUAUAAGUUAAUUUCAUGAAGUUGAGAUUUUUAA